RNAcentral lists this ribosomal RNA (465 nucleotides) under uncultured bacterium. Its description in RNAcentral is "bacterial SSU rRNA". It matches the Rfam family "Bacterial small subunit ribosomal RNA", at positions 338 to 795 of the family's 1533-position model. The record is from RNAcentral.
CCUACGGGAGGCACCAGUAGGGAAUCUUCCACAAUGGACGCAAGUCUGAUGGAGCAACGCCGCGUGAGUGAAGAAGGGUUUCGGCUCGUAAAGCUCUGUUGUUGGUGAAGAAGGACAGGGGUAGUAACUGACCUUUGUUUGACGGUAAUCAAUUAGAAAGUCACGGCUAACUACGUGCCAGCAGCCGCGGUAAUACGUAGGUGGCAAGCGUUGUCCGGAUUUAUUGGGCGUAAAGCGAGUGCAGGCGGGUCGAUAAGUCUGAUGUGAAAGCCUUCGGCUCAACCGGAGAAUUGCAUCAGAAACUGUCGAGCUUGAGUACAGAAGAGGAGAGUGGAACUCCAUGUGUAGCGGUGAAAUGCGUAGAUAUAUGGAAGAACACCGGUGGCGAAGGCGGCUCUCUGGUCUGUUACUGACGCUGAGGCUCGAAAGCAUGGGUAGCGAACAGGAUUAGAUACCCGCGUAGUC